This 875-nucleotide ribosomal RNA is filed under the name Escherichia coli. RNAcentral describes it as "partial 23S ribosomal RNA". It matches the Rfam family "Bacterial large subunit ribosomal RNA", at positions 419 to 1294 of the family's 2925-position model. Lineage: Bacteria; Pseudomonadati; Pseudomonadota; Gammaproteobacteria; Enterobacterales; Enterobacteriaceae. The record is from RNAcentral.
GGGACACGUGGUAUCCUGUCUGAAUAUGGGGGGACCAUCCUCCAAGGCUAAAUACUCCUGACUGACCGAUAGUGAACCAGUACCGUGAGGGAAAGGCGAAAAGAACCCCGGCGAGGGGAGUGAAAAAGAACCUGAAACCGUGUACGUACAAGCAGUGGGAGCACGCUUAGGCGUGUGACUGCGUACCUUUUGUAUAAUGGGUCAGCGACUUAUAUUCUGUAGCAAGGUUAACCGAAUAGGGGAGCCGAAGGGAAACCGAGUCUUAACUGGGCGUUAAGUUGCAGGGUAUAGACCCGAAACCCGGUGAUCUAGCCAUGGGCAGGUUGAAGGUUGGGUAACACUAACUGGAGGACCGAACCGACUAAUGUUGAAAAAUUAGCGGAUGACUUGUGGCUGGGGGUGAAAGGCCAAUCAAACCGGGAGAUAGCUGGUUCUCCCCGAAAGCUAUUUAGGUAGCGCCUCGUGAAUUCAUCUCCGGGGGUAGAGCACUGUUUCGGCAAGGGGGUCAUCCCGACUUACCAACCCGAUGCAAACUGCGAAUACCGGAGAAUGUUAUCACGGGAGACACACGGCGGGUGCUAACGUCCGUCGUGAAGAGGGAAACAACCCAGACCGCCAGCUAAGGUCCCAAAGUCAUGGUUAAGUGGGAAACGAUGUGGGAAGGCCCAGACAGCCAGGAUGUUGGCUUAGAAGCAGCCAUCAUUUAAAGAAAGCGUAAUAGCUCACUGGUCGAGUCGGCCUGCGCGGAAGAUGUAACGGGGCUAAACCAUGCACCGAAGCUGCGGCAGCGACACUAUGUGUUGUUGGGUAGGGGAGCGUUCUGUAAGCCUGUGAAGGUGUGCUGUGAGGCAUGCUGGAGGUAUCAGAAGUGCGAA